CAAUAGCGUAUAUUAAAGUUGUUGCAGUUAAAAAGCUCGUAGUUGGACUUCUGGCAGGAGCGUCCGGUCUCACACUCAGUGCGGGAACUUGGAUGUCUCUGGCCAUCUUUGGGGAUAUCCUGUUUGGCAUUAAGUUGUCGGGCAGGGGGUACCCAUCGUUUACUGUGAAAAAAUUAGAGUGUUUAAAGCAGGCUUAUGCCGUUGAAUAUAUUAGCAUGGAAUAAUAAGAUAGGACGUAGGUACUAUUUUGUUGGUUUGCGCACCCACGUAAUGAUUAAUAGAGACAGGCGGGGCUAUUCGUAUUGCAUUGUCAGAGGUGAAAUUCUUGGAUUUCUGCAAGACGAACUACUGCGAAAGCAUUUAGCAAGGAUGUUUUCAUUAA
Molecule: ribosomal RNA, 382 nt
Filed under: uncultured eukaryote
Lineage: Eukaryota
Description: partial 18S ribosomal RNA
Rfam family: Eukaryotic small subunit ribosomal RNA
Source: RNAcentral